ACGGACCCUCUGGAUGGCCCGAGCAGACACUACAGUCUUCACCAGAGGCAGCCCCAUAAAAAUGUCAUCGUCUCGGGCUCUCCCCGCAUUACAACACAAUGAUUUCUUUGGGGAGGAGAAAAAAAAAACUAAGAUUUAUUUUGCAACCACACCUCCGCCUCCCUUGGAAGAGAAAUACUGACCAACAACAAGUUGUGAAUGAAAUGUCUGCAGAUCGGCCCUCCUCGCCCAGCCUGAGAACUUUCCAGACGGAAAGGCGCACACGUGCACACAGCACCAGCUGAGCCGAUUUGUGCUGCUCUCAGCAGCCACCGGGGAUGGAGGAACCGCUCAAGGAUCUCCAGAGUGCGAGCCUGGUUCGGGGCAAAGUUGCCCAACCUAGUGGUGUGAGCCACGUAAGGAGCUGGGGAGAGGGGAGUCUGUCCCCAAGACAAUGACAGCAUCUAGGGCUCAGUGCCAGGCUCCCGGGAGAAGCAAACAAGCCAUGGCUUUAGGGAGGGGUGCAGGCUCAUUAGAGAGCCCACUGAAGUGUUACCACCAUGCAGAGAGGAGGGGUGAGAGGGCACGGCUCUCCUCUGCCAGUUUUUUUCUCUUGGGACGGGGAAGCAGCGCUGCUUGGAAAAUAGCAAACUCAAACCUUCCCCCCAAAUGCCAGAAAUGUUCCCGGGAGUCCAGGCCACAAGGACAGUGUGUGCAAUGGCUUGGACCAGGCCAGAGCUGUUCUCCCUCCCCUUAAACUAUGCAUAAAAAGAAGGUUCCCCCACAUGCUCCUCCUGGGAUCUUUCUGGGGUUAUCCCACAUGAACCUGCUUAGGUUGCCUUUGAGGAAACAGAGAAGUGAAGAUCCCCCAACCACUCCCCAUUUUGGAAAAGUGGACAUCAAAGCCCAGAGAAGGGACAGGACCAGCCCAAUGACCAACAGAGUCACCAGUGACUCUGGGGCUAUGUCUAGGACUCUGUCUCCAGUCUACUGUUCAUUCCCAAGGACAAGCCCACAACACAGUAGCAGCACCUGCAGAUGGAAAGCCUUCGAUCUCAAUGUCACCUGUUUGCCACUUUCUGCAUAAAUAAUGUCAUUGUUGGAAUGAGUUUAUGAUGGUCUCCAUCCCCAUCUCUAUGAGCUGUGAGCAAGACAUCUGCUGCAUAGCUCGUGUGUGUUCAGGCCUCCCUGGACCAGCAGCUCCGACUCACACAUGCACAGAACGAUAACGCAGAUGGGAGCAUGCGCCUGGAAGGCCACCCUGCCGCACAGCACACUGACUGAGCAAGAACAAAGACCGUAAAUGAAGAAGGAUGUUUGCACUCUGCUCCUCGCUUGCCUGAAAACAGGAAACUUUGGAGACCUGUUCUGGCAAGGUUUCCACCUCUUCCUCACCCCAACGGGAACUGUGUGUGUUCUGAUGGUUCAAUGGGGAAAUGAGGAUCGAUCAUGAGUGAUUUUCCCGAAAUGCAACCUGUGCAGGUCUUGCCUUCCUCAAGCACCUGUGAGGAGAAGUCGUCACUAGCGGGGAAUUCCAGCAGGUGACCCAAUCGAGACAGCUGGGCAGGCUCCUGGAGCUGAUGGCUUGGGAAGGAGGGAGUCAGAAGUGGCAGGCCCACGGAGGGCCUUCAACUCAUUGGAUGAAGCCCACCCUUAUUCCCAAGGAUAAUCUCCUUUACUCAAGGUCAACUGAUUGUUGAUGUUAAUGACAUCCACAAAAUGUCUUCACAGCAAUGGGAUUGCCUCACAGUAAUGGGAUUGCCUCACAGUAAUGGGAUUGCUGGGUCAAAUGGUAAUUAUCCUUAUGAUUUUCUUAAUACCAUUGUCUUUUCUCUACCUUACUUUAUUGUAGUAAUACAGUAUAUAGUACAUAU
RNAcentral lists this long non-coding RNA (1853 nucleotides) under Pan troglodytes (chimpanzee). RNAcentral describes it as "lincRNA". The record is from RNAcentral. Lineage: Eukaryota; Metazoa; Chordata; Mammalia; Primates; Hominidae.